Long non-coding RNA from Peromyscus leucopus (white-footed mouse), 513 nucleotides. RefSeq lists it as uncharacterized. The transcript has 2 exons. NCBI's taxonomy places the organism in Eukaryota, Metazoa, Chordata, Mammalia, Rodentia, Cricetidae. The record is from RefSeq and is a predicted model, not a curated record.
CAGAGAGAAGCAAGAUGGGCAUGCUGUACUGAGAAAAGCAAAAGAAUGAGACAUCCUCCAAUUUCUCCAGCCUCCAGUAGUAAAUACAAGAUAAGGAAAAAAACCAGCAUGACCAACACAUCCAAUGAAGCUUCUGUGUCAAGAAGCCGUUUGUGUGACCAGUUGUGGGGAGCUGAGACAUAGAACCUCUGAUGGGACUACAAGGCUGUUUACUUACAGACUUUUCUCCAGUUCCUUGGGUAGCUCCACGGCCAGACAUGAGCUCAUUACUCUAUCUUCCUCCAGCCUUCUCCCAUGGGUUCCCACCUCAGUGGUCAAUACCACCACCCACCCAGCUGUGUGAUCCCGUGUCCAGUCACCAACCCAUUGUUAUCUUCUAAGAACCUCUUGAAUCCAUCUGUGUCUCUUUAACUCUGCCUGUGUGGCCAGAGCCACGUGCUGACAUCUGUGGUCUCCAGGCACUUUUGUCUUCCUGGAUCUCUUCCACCAUUAAAAUAAAACACUUAAAAUUGU